AUUGAACGCUGGCGGCAUGCUUUACACAUGCAAGUCGAACGGCAGCGGGGGCUUCGGCCCGCCGGCGAGUGGCGAACGGGUGAGUAAUGCAUCGGAACGUGCCCAGUCGUGGGGGAUAACACAUCGAAAGAUGUGCUAAUACCGCAUACGUCCUGAGGGAGAAAGCGGGGGAUCUUCGGACCUCGCGCGAUUGGAGCGGCCGAUGUCGGAUUAGCUAGUUGGUGGGGUAAAAGCCCACCAAGGCGACGAUCCGUAGCGGGUCUGAGAGGAUGAUCCGCCACACUGGGACUGAGACACGGCCCAGACUCCUACGGGAGGCAGCAGUGGGGAAUUUUGGACAAUGGACGCAAGUCUGAACCAGCCACGUCGCGUGAAGGAAGACGGCCCUACGGGUUGUAAACUUCUUUUAUACGGGAAUAAAGUGCCCCACGCGUGGGGUUUUGCAUGUACCGUAUGAAUAAGGAUCGGCUAACUCCGUG
Molecule: ribosomal RNA, 479 nt
Filed under: uncultured bacterium
Lineage: Bacteria
Description: bacterial SSU rRNA
Rfam family: Bacterial small subunit ribosomal RNA
Source: RNAcentral